GAUGAAGAACGUAGCGAAAUGCGAUAAGUAAUGUGAAUUGCAGAAUUCAGUGAAUCAUCGAAUCUUUGAACGCACCUUGCGCUCCUCGGUAUUCCGUGGAGCAUGCCUGUUUGAGUGUCAUGAAAUCCUCAAUCCCCUAUCCCUUGUGGAGAGCGGGCUUGGACUUGGAGGCUUGCCGGCCGUGAGGUCGGCUCCUCUCAAACGCAUUAGCUCGGUUCCUUGCGGAUCGGCUCCCGACGUGAUAAUUGUCUACGUCGCGACCGUGAAGCGUUUGGCGAGCUUCCAACCGUCCUUCGGGACAGCUUUCUUGAUCUGACCUCAAAUCAGGUAGGACUACCCGCUGAACUUAAGCAUAUCAAUAAGCGGAGGA
This 370-nucleotide unclassified non-coding RNA is filed under the name soil metagenome. RNAcentral's name for it is "partial contains 5.8S ribosomal RNA, internal transcribed spacer 2, and large subunit ribosomal RNA". The stretch from base 1 to 120 matches the Rfam family "5.8S ribosomal RNA", at positions 35 to 154 of the family's 154-position model. The record is from RNAcentral.